This 236-nucleotide ribosomal RNA is filed under the name uncultured Lactobacillus sp. RNAcentral describes it as "partial 16S ribosomal RNA". It matches the Rfam family "Bacterial small subunit ribosomal RNA", at positions 127 to 356 of the family's 1533-position model. The record is from RNAcentral. Lineage: Bacteria; Bacillati; Bacillota; Bacilli; Lactobacillales; Lactobacillaceae.
UGCCCUGGAGCGGGGGGAUAACAUCUGGAAACAGGUGCUAAUACCGCAUAACAACGAAAACCACAUGGUUUCGUUUCAAAGAUGGUUUCGGCUAUCACUUCAGGAUGGGCCCACGGUGCAUUAGCUAGUUGGUAAGGUAACGGCUUACCAAGGCGAUGAUGCAUAGCCGAGUUGAGAGACUGAUCGGCCACAAUGGAACUGAGACACGGUCCAUACUCCUACGGGAGGCAGCAGCG